AACGAACGCUGGCGGCAUGCCUAACACAUGCAAGUCGAACGGGUACCUUCGGGUGCUAGUGGCGCACGGGUGCGUAACGCGGGGGAAUCUGCCCUUGGGUUCGGAAUAACCCAGCGAAAGCUGUGCUAAUACCGGAUGAUGUCGAAAGACCAAAGAUUUAUCGCCCGAGGAUGAGCCCGCGUUGGAUUAGCUAGUUGGUGGGGUAAAGGCCUACCAAGGCGACGAUCCAUAGCUGGUCUGAGAGGAUGAUCAGCCACACUGGGACUGAGACACGGCCCAGACUCCUACGGGAGGCAGCAGUGGGGAAUAUUGGACAAUGGGCGAAAGCCUGAUCCAGCAAUGCCGCGUGAGUGAUGAAGGCCUUAGGGUUGUAAAGCUCUUUUACCCGGGAUGAUAAUGACAGUACCGGGAGAAUAAGCUCCGGCUAACUCCGUG
Molecule: ribosomal RNA, 435 nt
Filed under: uncultured bacterium
Lineage: Bacteria
Description: partial 16S ribosomal RNA
Rfam family: Bacterial small subunit ribosomal RNA
Source: RNAcentral